AGCUACGAUCAUACCAGCACUAAUGAACCGGAUCCCAUCAGAACUCUACAGUUAAGCGUGCUUGGGCGAGAGUUGUACUAGGAUGAGUGAGCUCCAGGAAAGUCCUCGUGUUGCAUCCC
Ribosomal RNA from Arabidopsis thaliana (thale cress), 119 nucleotides. Lineage: Eukaryota; Viridiplantae; Streptophyta; Magnoliopsida; Brassicales; Brassicaceae. The record is from Rfam.